This 253-nucleotide ribosomal RNA is filed under the name uncultured bacterium. Its description in RNAcentral is "partial 16S ribosomal RNA". It matches the Rfam family "Bacterial small subunit ribosomal RNA", at positions 524 to 776 of the family's 1533-position model. The record is from RNAcentral.
UACGAAGGGUGCAAGCGUUACUCGGAAUUACUGGGCGUAAAGCGUGCGUAGGCGGUUCGUUAAGUCUGAUGUGAAAGCCCCGGGCUCAACCUGGGAGCGGCAUUGGAUACUGGCGGGCUAGAGUACGGUAGAGGGUGGUGGAAUUCCCGGUGUAGCAGUGAAAUGCGUAGAGAUCGGGAGGAACAUCCGUGGCGAAGGCGGCCACCUGGACCAGUACUGACGCUGAGGCACGAAAGCGUGGGGAGCAAACAGG